AACUUCAAAUUAAUCAGAAAUACCGAGUACUUUUUUAGAGUAGAAUUUACAUAACUUGCCUUUAUACUUUACUUGCGGUUCUUUACGCGUCACUAAAUUUACUUCAUUUACAACUUGACUGUUUUUUUUUAGUACCCUACGACUGAGCUAGGGGAAUUAAGUGGAUUAUCUAAAGCCGGGUGGUGUGCGCACUCCGAUUGCGUUGCAUUGUGGUAGCUUCAUUUUCAAUAUGGCGGUGAGAGCAGCAAAAAUUGGCAGAUUUUGACUGAACAUUCCGUAAACUUUAGGCCGUUCUUUUUUCCUUUCACCAUGAGUAAAUGUAAUUUGAUUUGUUCUGAAUGUGUAAAAGUAUUUUUUGUACGUAAUUGUCGCGCAUUCUACAGUUCCUAAGGACAAACGCAAUCACUGUUUUUCAGUAAGUAAUUUGAGACCGGUUUUCGAAAAGGUCAAAUUUGAUGUACGUCGUAGUUUGGAGCCUUUCAAAGAUUUGGAUGGCCACUUUGAUCCUUCUUCAACAGCUCUGACCAAACGCUCUCAAAAGGUACAUGCGUUUCUCGCAUUUUAAUUGAUAAUGUUUGAGACCAAUUAUGGCCGAGAACAGGCCUAUUGUUGCGUUACAUAGCGUUACUAUCGUAUACUCAAUUGUGUUGUAAAUCUACUUUCCAAGGUAAAAGGAAAUUUAUUAAUGGCGAGUGUUGUAUGGUAAAUCUACUCUCUUGAUCACUGAAUGAAGGACAGAUGAAUAAGAGCAACGAAAGAAGUCACUCGCCAAUAAAUAACAGUCCACAAUGCACACGGCGACACAACGGAUAAGCCGGAAAUCAGAAGGAACGGAAAUCGAAAAAAAAGAAGAAGAGCAAAGAAUGAUUUAUCUUGCUAAGGACAUGAAGGAGAUGACACUAAGUCAUAACAAGAAAAGGAAGAGGAAAAAGGAGUAAGUAAUGAAGAAGAAACAUUGGAAAAUGGAGAUAAAGGAGGGAAUGGAGGAAUACCAGCUGGAGUAGUAGAAAAAGAACAUGAGGAAAUGAAAGGAGAGAGAGAAAUUAAAGAAAAAGAACAAGGUACACAGAAAAAAAGGAGGGACAGGAGGACAACAGCCAAAAGAAAGAAGGCAAAAAAGGACCCUUCAACAUAAGAGAAAUUUGGAUUGUGAUGGCACCUGGAAUUGAGAACGACGAAAAUGGCAGACUUCAUAUUAGUUAAUUUAUUAUUCACCUCCUCAACUUGUAUUAAUUUCAUGAACAGGUCAUAAAAUGUUCAAUUCAGUUAAAAAAAAAAAAUGAACUAGCAUUUUUAUAAUGUCUAAUUGUACAGCCCAAAAUGUCUUCCUUGUGUUUUUUUGUCAUGACUGCCAAUUAAAGAUAUGGCUUUUGCAGUCUAUGAAGAGGGCUAGGUCAAGCCUUUUAAAAACCAGGGUUAGAUCAACAAGCAUUGAUUAUUUUGUUAAAAGUGAACUGUUGCAGUUGUUUAAUGGCUUUUUGGUGGAUCUAUUAACACAUUAAUAACUGGAUUGAACAUUUUAAGACCUGUUAAUAGUGGAAACUUCUUUGCUCUCAACUAUCAAACUAAUUCCUGAAAAUUACUCACUUUUAAAAAAAUUGGCAAAUCUGUCUUCAUCUAGCAAACAUUUAACCAAUCUGGAUUCACAAAUACAUUUCUCUCACUGGUAUCAAUAAUAUUGCGGUGUGAUUGUGUUAUGCAAUAUCUGAAUAGAAUGAGUGAAACAAACACAGUUUGAACUGUAUGUUUAUUUUAUAUUUAAAAAUUUAGCUUCUUUUAACAAUUACAGUAGCCCGCCACACUUUCUUAAUUUCGUGAAAUGUCGUCAAUCAACCAUGGUAUCUGAUAACUGAUGCAUAUGUUCAGUAUAGUUAAUAUUAUUCUUCUUAAUAUUUGAUUGCAAGGGAUGAACAUACAUUUUUUUCAGACUUUUGUUUGUCAUAUUCUCCAAAAGAUUUUCAUAUUUCAUUAGAGUUCUGUUCCUUUUCCUCGUUACAGAAGACCAAUUAAAAUAGAAACACGAAAGUGUAUUGAGCUUAUAUAAUAAAAAUAGAAUGUGUGUAUUGUUGCA
This 2071-nucleotide unclassified non-coding RNA is filed under the name Pocillopora damicornis (cauliflower coral). RNAcentral describes it as "uncharacterized LOC113682443, transcript variant X1". Lineage: Eukaryota; Metazoa; Cnidaria; Anthozoa; Scleractinia; Pocilloporidae. The record is from RNAcentral.